UACGAAUGCCCCAAGCGUUAUCCGGAAUCAUUGGGCGUAAAGGGCUCGUAGGCGGCCAACUAAGUCAGACGUGAAAUCCCUCGGCUUAACCGGGGAACUGCGUCUGAUACUGGAUGGCUUGAGAUUGGGAGAGGGAUGCGGAAUUCCCAGUGUAGAGGUGAAAUUCGUAGAUAUUGGGAAGAACACCGGUGGCGAAGGCGACUAUCUGGACCGACAUUGACGCUGAGGCGCGAAAGCGUGGGGAGCAAACAGG
Molecule: ribosomal RNA, 253 nt
Filed under: uncultured bacterium
Lineage: Bacteria
Description: partial 16S ribosomal RNA
Rfam family: Bacterial small subunit ribosomal RNA
Source: RNAcentral